Molecule: small nuclear RNA, 197 nt
Organism: Suricata suricatta (meerkat)
Lineage: Eukaryota; Metazoa; Chordata; Mammalia; Carnivora; Herpestidae
Gene: U2
Rfam family: U2 spliceosomal RNA
About the family: U2 is a small nuclear RNA (snRNA) component of the spliceosome (involved in pre-mRNA splicing). Complementary binding between U2 snRNA (in an area lying towards the 5' end but 3' to hairpin I) and the branchpoint sequence (BPS) of the intron results the bulging out of an unpaired adenosine, on the BPS, which initiates a nucleophilic attack at the intronic 5' splice site, thus starting the first of two transesterification reactions that mediate splicing.
Source: Ensembl
AUCGCUUCUCAGCCUUUUGGCUAAGAUCAAGUGUAGCAUAGGAGUCUGGCCACACUUUCAUCCAGCUUACUUUUGCUCUGGCCCUGCUUAUGCCCAAUCUUGGAUAUAUUACUUAUAUCUUGCCAUAGGUUUUACUGGGUCCACUCGGACUUAUGAGUUAGUGGGACUGACAACACUCAGCUCCUAUUAGGCAGUUC